AACGGCCGCGGUAUUUUGACCGUGUGAAGGUAGCGUAAUCAUUUGUCUUUUAAAUGAAGACCUGUAUGAAUGGCAUAACGAGGGCUUAACUGUCUCACUUUUUUUAUCAAUGAAAUUGAUCUUCCCGUGCAGAAGCGGGAAUAAAUACAUAAGACGAAAAGACCCUGUGGAGCUUUAGACAACAAAAUAGUCCAACUUAAUAAAUAUUCCUGGCACCUAUUACGAUGUCUUCGGUUGGGGCGACCAAGGAGAAAAAUAUAACCUCCACGUGAAAUAAUAUUAAAUUUCUAGAAACAAGAGCUACAACUCAAAUUUCCAGAACCUCUGUCUAAUAUGAUCCGGCCUAUAAAGCCGAUCAACGAACCAAGUUACCCCAGGGAUAACAGCGCAAUCCCCUUUUAGAGCCCACAUCGACAAGGGGGUUUACGACCUCGAUGUUGGAUCAGGACAUCCUAAU
RNAcentral lists this ribosomal RNA (457 nucleotides) under Rivulus cylindraceus (green rivulus). RNAcentral's name for it is "partial 16S ribosomal RNA". It matches the Rfam family "Bacterial large subunit ribosomal RNA", at positions 1926 to 2551 of the family's 2925-position model. The record is from RNAcentral. Lineage: Eukaryota; Metazoa; Chordata; Actinopteri; Cyprinodontiformes; Rivulidae.